This 65-nucleotide transfer RNA is filed under the name Yininemertes pratensis. RNAcentral's name for it is "tRNA-Gly". Lineage: Eukaryota; Metazoa; Nemertea; Pilidiophora; Heteronemertea; Lineidae. The record is from RNAcentral.
GUUUUGCUAGUAUAAAGAGUAUAUUUGCCUUCCAAGCAAAGGGUUUGUGGCGCACAGGCAGGAUA